CUCAUCACAGGGGAUGAAGUCCCCCGAAAGCGCCAAACCAGGCUAAUGACUUCUACCAGAUU
This 62-nucleotide non-coding RNA is filed under the name Candidatus Rifleibacteriota. Its description in RNAcentral is "Candidatus Riflebacteria Fluoride sequence". It matches the Rfam family "Fluoride riboswitch aptamer (crcB RNA motif)". The record is from RNAcentral.